RNAcentral lists this long non-coding RNA (1136 nucleotides) under Taeniopygia guttata (zebra finch). RNAcentral describes it as "lncRNA (ENSTGUG00000019314.1)". The record is from RNAcentral. Lineage: Eukaryota; Metazoa; Chordata; Aves; Passeriformes; Estrildidae.
CCAAAGGACAAGUCCCACUGUCCAGGGCAGCAGUUGAGAUUCAGCACACCAGGAAAUGUCCUUCAGAGUGUCUGGGGUACACACUACAGCAGGAUGGCACUCAGAGGCAUCACCUCACUCCCUGAAGCCCUGCACUGGAAAGGCAAGAAGGGCAGAAACCACCAGUUUGGUGACUGCAGUGGCUAUCCCUCUUUCACUCACUUGCUCUUGUAGAGCCUGAGGGAGACGAUUAAGUUUUUCUCUGAUGAUUUUCAUUUCUUCUUCCUGCCUCUUCUCCUUUGCCUUCAUCUUAGUGUCAAUUUUCUGAAACUCCGUGUCCAGCUGUUCCUUCAAGUUCUGUAAAAUACAAGAGAGAGGAUCUUUCAUGAGUGGAGUGGCUGCCACUCUUUCACUCACCUGGUCUUGUUGAUCGCCCCUCUGCUGACGGAGAUUCAUCUCCUCUUGAAUUCCUCUCAUGUCUUCCUUGUUCCCCUUCUUCACUUCCAUGAUGGCACUCUGAGCCCCGGGCAGCUCUGCUUGUGACUCUGCCUUGAUGUUCUGUACACACAAAUGCAGAGCAAGUGACUGGGAGCUGCCAUCAGGCUCAGCUUUUUCCUCUCGCAGCUUCAAAAUCCCAUUUAUUCAGCCACUUCUUUCUGCUUCCCUACCCACCUCUGCUUCCAGUGCAACCCUCCUGUCCCAGUGCUGACUUUGGCAGAUUCCAAGGCUCUGUGCUUUCAGUGCCUCUGGGACUCCUGACCUCCUCAGUCCCAAGAGCUCCAUUUUAUGCCCCUUUUCCUGCCCUUCCCUCUGAAACCUGGCGAGUCAGGCUUACCUGGCCAUUCUCCUGUGGCUCUUCCACCUGCUGCCUGAGCUGCUCUUCCUGCUCUCGGGCUGGGAACAGCUCUCCCCGAGUCUGCCAUGGCAUCUCUGACAAAGCAGGCUGCUCCUGCUCUUUCUCUGGAAGGACCUGCACAGAAAGCAAGAGAAGAUGGGUUUCAACUUUCCAUACAACAUUUGAGGGCCAAGACUCAAGGACUGAUGGGCUCACACGUUCCCAAAGCACUGUGCUGCAGCUCUCCUGGGUCAUUCUCUGCCCAUGAGGAGGCACAGAUGCCAAAGUGACCCUGGCACUGCAAUCAGGGGCCAUCUGGGGC